AAGUCGUAACAAGGUUUCCGUAGGUGAACCUGCGGAAGGAUCAUUAAUGAAACUUCAAAGUCGGCUUGUUUUCUGUUCUGUGCUGGCGGGAGACCGCAUGUGCACGUCUAGGAACAAGUCGCAAAAUCCACACACACCUGUGCAUCUUAUGACUCUGAGUACCGCUUUGCGUGGCCCCUCACCGGGCCUGGUAUUCGAGUAACUUUUACACACUCUGAAUGUAAUGGAAUGUCUAUUGUGCAUAAUGUACAACUGAAAACAACUUUCAACAACGGAUCUCUUGGCUCUC
RNAcentral lists this unclassified non-coding RNA (289 nucleotides) under Serendipita sp. RNAcentral describes it as "partial contains small subunit ribosomal RNA, internal transcribed spacer 1, and 5.8S ribosomal RNA". The stretch from base 1 to 46 matches the Rfam family "Eukaryotic small subunit ribosomal RNA", at positions 1786 to 1831 of the family's 1831-position model. Lineage: Eukaryota; Fungi; Basidiomycota; Agaricomycetes; Sebacinales; Serendipitaceae. The record is from RNAcentral.